CAGCAGCCGCGGUAAUACGUAGGGUGCAAGCGUUAAUCGGAAUUACUGGGCGUAAAGCGUGCGCAGGCGGUUAUAUAAGACAGAUGUGAAAUCCCCGGGCUCAACCUGGGAACUGCAUUUGUGACUGUAUAGCUAGAGUACGGCAGAGGGGGAUGGAAUUCCGCGUGUAGCAGUGAAAUGCGUAGAUAUGCGGAGGAACACCGAUGGCGAAGGCAAUCCUCUGGGCCUGUACUGACGCUCAUGCACGAAAGCGUGGGGAGCAAAUAGGAUUAGAUACCCCCGUAGUCCCUGUCUCUUAUAC
This 301-nucleotide ribosomal RNA is filed under the name uncultured bacterium. RNAcentral describes it as "partial 16S ribosomal RNA". It matches the Rfam family "Bacterial small subunit ribosomal RNA", at positions 509 to 807 of the family's 1533-position model. The record is from RNAcentral.